Molecule: transfer RNA, 76 nt
Filed under: Synergistaceae bacterium
Lineage: Bacteria; Thermotogati; Synergistota; Synergistia; Synergistales; Synergistaceae
Description: tRNA-Arg
Rfam family: tRNA
About the family: Transfer RNA (tRNA) molecules are approximately 80 nucleotides in length. Their secondary structure includes four short double-helical elements and three loops (D, anti-codon, and T loops).
Source: RNAcentral
GGGCUUGUAGCUCAGUGGAUAGAGCGACGGCCUCCUAAGCCGUAGGUCGGCGGUUCGAAUCCGCCCAAGCUCGCCA